CGUCAGAUAGCUCAGUGGUCUAGAGCAGUCGCCCGGCAAGCGAAAGACUCGGGCUUCGAUUCCCGAUCUAGUGA
Molecule: transfer RNA, 74 nt
Filed under: Harpegnathos saltator (Jerdon's jumping ant)
Lineage: Eukaryota; Metazoa; Arthropoda; Insecta; Hymenoptera; Formicidae
Rfam family: tRNA
About the family: Transfer RNA (tRNA) molecules are approximately 80 nucleotides in length. Their secondary structure includes four short double-helical elements and three loops (D, anti-codon, and T loops). Further hydrogen bonds mediate the characteristic L-shaped molecular structure. tRNAs have two regions of fundamental functional importance: the anti-codon, which is responsible for specific mRNA codon recognition, and the 3' end, to which the tRNAs corresponding amino acid is attached (by aminoacyl-tRNA synthetases). tRNAs cope with the degeneracy of the genetic code in two manners: having more than one tRNA (with a specific anti-codon) for a particular amino acid; and 'wobble' base-pairing, i.e. permitting non-standard base-pairing at the 3rd anti-codon position.
Source: Rfam by way of RNAcentral